UAAGGAAUUUUGGACAAUGGACGCAAGUCUGAUCCAGCCAUGCCGCGUGCGGGAAGAAGGCCUUCGGGUUGUAAACCGCUUUUGUCAGGGAAGAAACGAGUUUCUCUAAUACAGAGACUUAAUGACGGUACCUGAAGAAUAAGCACCGGCUAACUACGUGCCAGCAGCCGCGGUAAUACGUAGGGUGCAAGCGUUAAUCGGAAUUACUGGGCGUAAAGCGUGCGCAGGCGGUUAUGCAAGACAGAGGUGAAAUCCCCGGGCUCAACCUGGGAACUGCCUUUGUGACUGCAUAGCUAGAGUACGGUAGAGGGGGAUGGAAUUCCGCGUGUAGCAGUGAAAUGCGUAGAUAUGCGGAGGAACACCGAUGGCGAAGGCAAUCCCCUGGACCUGUACUGACGCUCAUGCACGAAGGCGUGGGGAGCAAACA
RNAcentral lists this ribosomal RNA (427 nucleotides) under uncultured bacterium. Its description in RNAcentral is "bacterial SSU rRNA". It matches the Rfam family "Bacterial small subunit ribosomal RNA", at positions 355 to 774 of the family's 1533-position model. The record is from RNAcentral.